AGAGUUUGAUCCUGGCUCAGGACGAACGCUGGCGGCACGCUUAACACAUGCAAGUCGAACGAGAGAAGAGGAGCUUGCUUUUCUGAUCUAGUGGCGGACGGGUGAGUAACACGUGAGCAAUCUGCCUUUCAGAGGGGGAUACCGAUUGGAAACGAUCGUUAAUACCGCAUAACAUAAUUGAACCGCAUGAUUUGAUUAUCAAAGAUUUAUCGCUGAAAGAUGAGCUCGCGUCUGAUUAGCUAGUUGGUAAGGUAACGGCUUACCAAGGCGACGAUCAGUAGCCGGACUGAGAGGUUGAUCGGCCACAUUGGGACUGAGACACGGCCCAGACUCCUACGGGAGGCAGCAGUGGGGAAUAUUGCACAAUGGAGGAAACUCUGAUGCAGCGAUGCCGCGUGAGGGAAGAAGGUUUUAGGAUUGUAAACCUCUGUCUUCAGGGACGAAAAAAGACGGUACCUGAGGAGGAAGCUCCGGCUAACUACGUGCCAGCAGCCGCGGUAAUACGUAGGGAGCGAGCGUUGUCCGGAAUUACUGGGUGUAAAGGGAGCGUAGGCGGGAUCGCAAGUCAGAUGUGAAAACUAUGGGCUUAACCCAUAAACUGCAUUUGAAACUGUGGUUCUUGAGUGAAGUAGAGGUAAGCGGAAUUCCUAGUGUAGCGGUGAAAUGCGUAGAUAUUAGGAGGAACAUCAGUGGCGAAGGCGGCUUACUGGGCUUUAACUGACGCUGAGGCUCGAAAGCGUGGGGAGCAAACAGGAUUAGAUACCCUGGUAGUCCACGCCGUAAACGAUGAUUACUAGGUGUGGGGGGACUGACCCCUUCCGUGCCGCAGCAAACGCAAUAAGUAAUCCACCUGGGGAGUACGACCGCAAGGUUGAAACUCAAAGGAAUUGACGGGGGCCCGCACAAGCAGUGGAGUAUGUGGAUUAAUUCGAAGCAACGCGAAGAACCUUACCAGGUCUUGACAUCGUAUGCAUAGCUCAGAGAUGAGUGAAAUCUCUUCGGAGACAUAUAGACAGGUGGUGCAUGGUUGUCGUCAGCUCGUGUCGUGAGAUGUUGGGUUAAGUCCCGCAACGAGCGCAACCCUUACUGUUAGUUGCUACGCAAGAGCACUCUAGCAGCACUGCCGUUGACAAAACGGAGGAAGGUGGGGAUGACGUCAAAUCAUCAUGCCCCUUAUGACCUGGGCCUCACACGUACUACAAUGGCUGUCAACAGAGGGAAGCAAAGCCGCGAGGUGGAGCGAACCCCUAAAAGCAGUCUUAGUUCGGAUUGUAGGCUGCAACCCGCCUACAUGAAGUCGGAAUUGCUAGUAAUCGCAGAUCAGCAUGCUGCGGUGAAUACGUUCCCGGGCCUUGUACACACCGCCCGUCACGCCAUGGGAGUCGGUAACACCCGAAGCCUGUAGUCUAACCGCAAGGAGGACGCAGUCGAAGGUGGGAUUGAUGACUGGGGUGAAGUCGUAACAAGGUA
Molecule: ribosomal RNA, 1470 nt
Filed under: metagenome
Description: bacterial SSU rRNA
Rfam family: Bacterial small subunit ribosomal RNA
Source: RNAcentral